CCUUAUCACUUUAGAGGAAGGAGAAGUCGUAACAAGGUUUCCGUAGGUGAACCUGCGGAAGGAUCAUUGUCGUUGCCUCACAAACGGGACCACUCGCGAAUUGGUUGAAACACUCCCGAGGUGGUAGACGAGCGGCGUGCGUCGCCCUGAGUCCCCCGCUCGGUGCCCGGGUGCUAACUAUAGCUUCGGGCAACCCCAAUAAAAACCCCGGCGCUGGUUGCGCCAAGGAAAUGAAACUUACGUGUGUGGCCUCGGCGAACCGGAGACGGUUCUUGUCCGGGGCCGUGACGAAAAUGAAAUUAAAAAUGACUCUCGGCAACGGAUAUCUCGGCUCUCGCAUCGAUGAAGAACGUAGCGAAAUGCGAUACUUGGUGUGAAUUGCAGAAUCCCGUGAACCAUCGAGUCUUUGAACGCAAGUUGCGCCCGAAGCCACUAGGCCGAGGGCACGUCUGCCUGGGUGUCACGCAUCGUAGCCCCAAGCCACGUCCACCCCCCGAUUGAUCAGGGGCGACGAGGUGCUUGGGGGGAAUUUGGCCUCCCGUGAUCCGUGCAUUGCGGAUGGCCGAAAAAGGAGCCUGUGCGGGGCAAUCGCCACGUUCCACGGUGGAUGAGCAGAUGCCUCGAGACCGACCUUGUGUUGGUUGUCCCUACGGAUGGGCUGUCAGACCCUUUGGGAGCGACGAAGCUUUCCCGAAGCGACCCCAGGUCACGCGGGGCUACCCGCUGAGUUUAAGCAUAUCAAUAAGCGGGAAGGAAA
Molecule: ribosomal RNA, 757 nt
Filed under: Senna tora
Lineage: Eukaryota; Viridiplantae; Streptophyta; Magnoliopsida; Fabales; Fabaceae
Description: eukaryotic LSU rRNA
Rfam family: 5.8S ribosomal RNA (bases 308-463)
Source: RNAcentral